UACGGAGGGGACUAGCGUUGUUCGGAAUUACUGGGCGUAAAGCGUGCGCAGGCGGUUCGGAAAGAAAGAUGUGAAAUCCCAGGGCUUAACCUUGGAACUGCAUUUUUAACUACCGGGCUAGAGUGUGCCAGAGGGGGGUGGAAUUCCACGUGUAGCAGUGAAAUGCGUAGAGAUGUGGAGGAACACCGAUGGCGAAGGCAGCCCCCUGGGUUAACACUGACGCUCAGGCACGAAAGCGUGGGGAGCAAACAGG
RNAcentral lists this ribosomal RNA (253 nucleotides) under uncultured bacterium. RNAcentral's name for it is "partial 16S ribosomal RNA". It matches the Rfam family "Bacterial small subunit ribosomal RNA", at positions 524 to 776 of the family's 1533-position model. The record is from RNAcentral.